UCGUGGAUUAAUUUGUCUGGUUAAUUCCGUUAACGAACGAGACUUUGACUUACUAGUUAGAAUUUUUCAUUCAUGAAAAAUUACUUCUAGAAGGACCAUGUGUUCCUAACACAAGGAGGCGCGAAGCAAUAACA
RNAcentral lists this ribosomal RNA (134 nucleotides) under uncultured eukaryote. RNAcentral describes it as "partial 18S ribosomal RNA". It matches the Rfam family "Eukaryotic small subunit ribosomal RNA", at positions 1299 to 1458 of the family's 1831-position model. The record is from RNAcentral.